RNAcentral lists this ribosomal RNA (510 nucleotides) under uncultured bacterium. RNAcentral describes it as "bacterial SSU rRNA". It matches the Rfam family "Bacterial small subunit ribosomal RNA", at positions 36 to 518 of the family's 1533-position model. The record is from RNAcentral.
CUGGCGGCGUGCCUAAUACAUGCAAGUCGAACGGUCUUUCUAUGGAAGCUUGCUUCCACUGAGAAGAUAGUGGCGAACGGGUGAGUAACACGUGGGUAACCUGCCCAUAAGAGGGGGAUAACAUCCGGAAACGGGUGCUAAUACCGCAUAGUUUUCUUGGUCGCAUGAUCGGGAAAGGAAAGACGGCCUUUGUGCUGUCGCUUAUGGAUGGACCCGCGGCGUAUUAGUUAGUUGGUGAGGUAACGGCUCACCAAGACGAUGGAUACGUAGCCGACCUGAGAGGGUGAUCGGCCACAUUGGGACUGAGACACGGCCCAAACUCCUACGGGAGGCAGCAGUAGGGAAUCUUCCGCAAUGGACGAAAGUCUGACGGAGCAACGCCGCGUGAGUGAAGAAGGUUUUCGGAAUCGUAAAACUCUGUUGUCAGAGAAGAACAAGUUGGAGAGUAACUGCUCCAGCCUUGACGGUAUCUGACCAGAAAGCCACGGCUAACUACGUGCCAGCAGCAGC